AGAGCCGAGUCAAAUGUGCAGGAAGAUUCCCCCAAACUGAAAGAAGGUCAACAGCAAAUUUGAGGCAGUGGAUAUGAGGAUAGAGGAGACACUCCUGAAGACUUCACUUUCUCCAUUUCUGUACUUGAAUUUUUACACCAAGCAUACAGCUUGAAAAAAUUAAAUGAGUAUGCAGUAUUUUAAAAAUCAACAAAAGCUUCACAUUUUAAUUUUCACUUGAAAAAAAAACAUGAGUGGUACUCAGCAGAACAACAACUAUAUCGUAUAAGCUGCAUCAGAGACAAAUGAAGAUGAAAAAACUAUCCUCCUAUAUAACUAAUCUGUGCUGUGCCCCAACAAAGCCUGCUUUAAAUUUCCGUGCCAAUUACAACCCCCAUUCUGUAUCAGGCAAGGAAGACUCCUCUACCCUUGAUUCUGGAUUGGAAAGGUCACAAGGCUUAGAUUCCACAGGAGGAGGUGAAGACAUCUGCAGAGUCUGUACUGCGAGCUGAAGCUUUAUUUGCUUGUUGGAUCCCCAAAAGGUCCAAAUCCAGUCUGCACCAAACAGGAAGGCUUGGUGCUUGGUCAUCUUGGUGGUGGUCAGCCACUCAUCAACUCCCUUUUCUUGGCAGAAAGUGAUGAAAUGGAUUAAGAAGAUCUCAUUCAGAGUAUUUGCAGCUGGGCAGAGUUUACUUGGAGGAUAUUCAAAUCCAAGGUACUCCUUCAGUUUCUGAGCUGCAUGGACUAUAGCUUCACUGACCACCUCACAGACGACGGGCACCUCUUUGCUGUCCUUCAGAGCCAACUGUUGCGAUGCUUUCUGCCCCAUUUUCUCUGCAUCCAAAUAUCAAACAUGUGAAUCUGG
This 844-nucleotide long non-coding RNA is filed under the name Homo sapiens (human). RNAcentral describes it as "non-protein coding lnc-MANSC4-3:6". Lineage: Eukaryota; Metazoa; Chordata; Mammalia; Primates; Hominidae. The record is from RNAcentral.